GUCAAGCGAAAACAAGCACGAUAGGAUUGGAUUGCGAUCUCAAGUUGGGCCCUUGGAUGCAGAAAGUUGUGUGGGAUUCGAUGUUAAAAUGUCGCAAACCCAAAGCGUUGUACGCUGAUGAUGGAUGACAUUCGUGUGCGUUGUGACUCUUUCUUGUUUGAAAGGGCUCAUGCGUGCCGAUGUUGACCGAGGAGUGCUACCUGGUUGAUCCUG
RNAcentral lists this unclassified non-coding RNA (213 nucleotides) under Salicornia magellanica. RNAcentral's name for it is "partial external transcribed spacer". The record is from RNAcentral. Lineage: Eukaryota; Viridiplantae; Streptophyta; Magnoliopsida; Caryophyllales; Amaranthaceae.